Molecule: transfer RNA, 70 nt
Filed under: Heliconius melpomene (postman butterfly)
Lineage: Eukaryota; Metazoa; Arthropoda; Insecta; Lepidoptera; Nymphalidae
Description: tRNA HMEL011660
Rfam family: tRNA
About the family: Transfer RNA (tRNA) molecules are approximately 80 nucleotides in length. Their secondary structure includes four short double-helical elements and three loops (D, anti-codon, and T loops).
Source: RNAcentral
GCGUCGGUGGUUCAGUGGUAGAAUGCUCGCUUGCCACGCAGGCGGCCCGGGUUCGAUCCCGGCCGAUGCA